Long non-coding RNA from Denticeps clupeoides (denticle herring), 827 nucleotides. The record is from Ensembl. NCBI's taxonomy places the organism in Eukaryota, Metazoa, Chordata, Actinopteri, Clupeiformes, Denticipitidae.
GUGGAUUGUAUACAUUUGAAUUAUGUUGCAGCUGCGCCAAAAUCUUAUCCUGAAGAGAGUACAAUUGGACAGAGAGCGGCCUGUCAUAAUGGGUCUCUAGACACCAAGGAAGAUAGACCAAGGAAGACCAAUUCCCCUCCUGCAAGGCCUGGUGGACGGGAGCAAACCAGACUUCUACGGGCCUCCAGAGGAUCAGUGGUUAUUGGUGGCAGCUUCUCAUCUGGUGGUGACAUUUCUGGUGUGGUUGGCAGAGGAGUGUUUGGCUCCAGCGUUGGGUCCAUUAAGCCAGAUGUUCCUGUGUCAGUGCAGCAGGAAGAACCUAUUGGCUGGUCGGCCUGUGAUCCUCCAGAAGGGUUGUAUGGACAUGCUUUGAUAGGGAACCAUCUAGACUUAGAUCACAUCCACAACACAGUACAGGUGCGUGAUAUAAUUUCAAAGUCCUUACAUUAGGGCUGUGCGAGAAGGUAUUUUUUGGUACCUUGGUGACAAUAAAGACAGCAUAAAAAGUUUGUUUUCUUCUAUGAUAAUGAUCUCAGACCUGUGCUGUUCCUGCCCCUAAUUUGGAGUUGUUGUGAAUGUCAUUAAAUUUGGUAAGAUCACUUCUGUCCAGCACAGAUCUCCUUUCUAGCGAAUCAGUUGCACCUACUGGUAUAUUGGACCUUCUACAAGCUGCAGUUCAAAACCAUACAAUUAAUGUGAUGGGUUCAGAGAUUUUGUUAUUUUAACCAAAGGCCAUGACCAGCUUCAGUCUUACAGAAGGAGCUCUUAGUCAAUACUUAUUUAGUUAGAUUUAUUUGCUUAUUUUCCAUUAUUUUUUCUGAACAUGU